RNAcentral lists this ribosomal RNA (460 nucleotides) under uncultured bacterium. RNAcentral's name for it is "partial 16S ribosomal RNA". It matches the Rfam family "Bacterial small subunit ribosomal RNA", at positions 338 to 795 of the family's 1533-position model. The record is from RNAcentral.
CCUACGGGAGACAGCAGUGAGGAAUAUUGGUCAAUGGACGAGAGUCUGAACCAGCCAAGUAGCGUGAAGGAUGACUGCCCUAUGGGUUGUAAACUUCUUUUAUAUGGGAAUAAAAUGUUGCACGUGUGGGAUUUUGUAUGUACCAUAUGAAUAAGGAUCGGCUAACUCCGUGCCAGCAGCCGCGGUAAUACGGAGGAUCCGAGCGUUAUCCGGAUUUAUUGGGUUUAAAGGGAGCGUAGGUGGAUUGUUAAGUCAGUUGUGAAAGUUUGCGGCUCAACCGUAAAAUUGCAGUUGAAACUGGCAGUCUUGAGUACAGUAGAGGUGGGCGGAAUUCGUGGUGUAGCGGUGACAUGCUUAGAUAUCACGAAGAACUCCGAUUGCGAAGGCAGCUCACUGGACUGCAACUGACACUGAUGCUCGAAAGUGUGGGUAUCAAACAGGAUUAGAUACCCCUGUAGUC